CUCCUCGUAGUUCAAUGGAUAGAACGAGCGCCUCCUAAGCGCUAGAUACAGGUUCGAUUCCUGUCGAGGGGA
RNAcentral lists this transfer RNA (72 nucleotides) under Azoarcus sp. KH32C. RNAcentral describes it as "tRNA-Arg (CCT) (tRNA-Arg-CCT-1-1)". It matches the Rfam family "tRNA". From Rfam's summary of the family: Transfer RNA (tRNA) molecules are approximately 80 nucleotides in length. The record is from Rfam by way of RNAcentral. RNAcentral also lists the same sequence under 2 other names. Lineage: Bacteria; Pseudomonadati; Pseudomonadota; Betaproteobacteria; Rhodocyclales; Zoogloeaceae.